GGGGGCGAAACGGCUUCGACGGGGAUAGGGAAGCUUAAGUUGCAUACCGAGGUUCCACUUGCUCGUAAAACAGGUGGUCUAACACAAACGCAGACGAUUAUGCGUACUCCUUAGCCGCAUAGACGGCUAACGUCCUUUCAAUUGCUCCUGCGAAAUUGAAAAGGGCGCCGACUCAGCGGGAUAGCCGACCCGAUUUACUCGCAGAUCGGUGAAGCGAAAUUACAUGCGGGUUAGCCUCCUGGCAACCUCGCCUGAUAGGGAGCCAAUGGGGCGAACAUCUAUUAUCGGGCUAUGUAUGUAGAAGCUUAAGUGGAAUAUUUUCGGACGGGGGUUCGACUCCCCCCGCCUCCACCA
This 354-nucleotide transfer-messenger RNA is filed under the name Deltaproteobacteria bacterium. It matches the Rfam family "transfer-messenger RNA". From Rfam's summary of the family: Bacterial tmRNA, also known as 10Sa RNA or SsrA, is named for its dual tRNA and mRNA-like properties. Its role is to liberate the mRNA from a stalled ribosome. To accomplish this part of the tmRNA is used as a reading frame that ends in a translation stop signal. Lineage: Bacteria; Pseudomonadati; Myxococcota; Myxococcia. The record is from RNAcentral.